AACUACAUUUCAAUGCAUGGUGUCCAAAAAAGGAAAAGAAGUUAGGGUUUUGGAUUGUCCUUCUUCGGAGGGCCUCGGCACUCCGAAGGAGGGUCAGAUGGAGCUCGAUCCGGCUGGCUCACAUAGAAGACCUACUUUUGCCUCCUCCUGGGAUGACAAUCGUGCAACAUCAAAGGUUGACUCCGUUCCUCCUUGUCCGAUGACUCAAGGUUCUGAUCAACCUAUGGCUGCUUCGGAGCUAGGCAACAAUUCUCAGGGAAGGAAAGCCCCUUCCCCUCUUCGACCGACAGUCGAAAGUCAAGGCAUAAGACAGCCUGCGACCUGUCGUUCUUGGUCGCAAGUUGUAUAGGGGCCAAGGUAGUUCAGAUGGGAAUCCUCUAGAGCUACUAAGGAAGACAUCGAAGCCCUUGAAGCAAGAUUUUCUAAGGUUGUCUCCUUCACCGCGGAGGAGAUCCGCCAUGGUUCUGAUCAAUGGAAAACAGCAAUAAUAGAGUAAAGAUGUUCUCCUUCAAUCCUUAUCAUUUGGAGCAGAUUUUACACUGUCAGUGUUGCUGCGUCUCAGGAUCUUUCACGCUGUAUAAGCUCAGCAGCUCUCUGACCGUCAUUUUGGUUGUCACCAUUCUUCCAUUUUGUUUAUAAAUUUUGUCAGCCCCUUUAUGUUGCUAUGUUACUCCAACGGUGUAUGCUGCUAUAUUGUUUUUAAGAACUCCUCCCUAAUAUUUGCUCUAGUGGCCUGUUUUGGUUUCUCCCAGUCAUGUACAAAGCCAUCUGAGCAUUUUGUAUUUAUUUCUGCUCUCUUAAUCUAAGUUGCACCUUACCUUACC
Elaeis guineensis (African oil palm) is the source of this 824-nucleotide non-coding RNA. The record is from RefSeq and is a predicted model, not a curated record. Lineage: Eukaryota; Viridiplantae; Streptophyta; Magnoliopsida; Arecales; Arecaceae.